Molecule: ribosomal RNA, 253 nt
Filed under: uncultured bacterium
Lineage: Bacteria
Description: partial 16S ribosomal RNA
Rfam family: Bacterial small subunit ribosomal RNA
Source: RNAcentral
UACGAAGGGGGCUAGCGUUGCUCGGAAUCACUGGGCGUAAAGCGCACGUAGGCGGCUUCUCAAGUCAGGGGUGAAAUCCUGGAGCUCAACUCAAGAACUGCCUUUGAUACUGAGGGGCUCGAGUCCGGGAGAGGUGAGUGGAACUGCGAGUGUAGAGGUGAAAUUCGUAGAUAUUCGCAAGAACACCAGUGGCGAAGGCGGCUCACUGGCCCGGUACUGACGCUGAGGUGCGAAAGCGUGGGGAGCAAACAGG